GAACUGCGAUAAGUAAUGUGAAUUGCAGAAUUCAGUGAAUCACCGAGUCUUUGAACGCACAUUGCGCCCCCUGGCAUUCCGGGGGGCAUGCCUGUCCGAGCGUCAUUGCUGCCCUUCAAGCCCGGCUUGUGUGUUGGGUCGUCGUCCCCUCCGGGGGACGGGCCCGAAAGGCAGCGGCGGCACCGCGUCCGGUCCUCGAGCGUAUGGGGCUUUGUCACCCGCUCGAUAAGGACCGGCCGGGCGCCAGCCGGCGUCUCCAACCUUUUUUUCUCAGGUUGACCUCGGAUCAGGUAGGGAUACCCGCUGAACUUAAGC
RNAcentral lists this unclassified non-coding RNA (315 nucleotides) under plant metagenome. Its description in RNAcentral is "partial contains 5.8S ribosomal RNA, internal transcribed spacer 2, and large subunit ribosomal RNA". The stretch from base 1 to 105 matches the Rfam family "5.8S ribosomal RNA", at positions 50 to 154 of the family's 154-position model. The record is from RNAcentral.